GAUCAUGGCUCAGGACGAACGCUGGCGGCGUGCCUAACACAUGCAAGUCGAGCGAGUGAAUUUCCUUCGGGAGUGAAGCUAGCGGCGGACGGGUGAGUAACACGUGGGCAACCUGCCUCAUAGAGGGGAAUAGCCUUUCGAAAGGAAGAUUAAUACCGCAUAAGAUUGUAGCUUCGCAUGAAGUAGCAAUUAAAGGAGCAAUCCGCUAUGAGAUGGGCCCGCGGCGCAUUAG
RNAcentral lists this ribosomal RNA (232 nucleotides) under uncultured bacterium. RNAcentral's name for it is "partial 16S ribosomal RNA". It matches the Rfam family "Bacterial small subunit ribosomal RNA", at positions 15 to 244 of the family's 1533-position model. The record is from RNAcentral.